Molecule: ribosomal RNA, 253 nt
Filed under: uncultured bacterium
Lineage: Bacteria
Description: partial 16S ribosomal RNA
Rfam family: Bacterial small subunit ribosomal RNA
Source: RNAcentral
UACAGAGGGUGCGAGCGUUGUCCGGAAUCACUGGGCGUAAAGGGCGCGUAGGUGGCUUGGUAAGCGUGUGGUGAAAGCCCGGGGCUCAACCCCGGGUCUGCCAUGCGAACUGCCGAGCUCGAGCGUAGUAGAGGCAGGUGGAAUUUCGGGUGUAGCGGUGGAAUGCGUAGAGAUCCGAAAGAACACCGGUGGCGAAGGCGGCCUGCUGGGCUACUGCUGACACUGAGGCGCGACAGCGUGGGGAGCAAACAGG